UGAGAUUAAAAAUUAGAACUCUAAACU
Molecule: non-coding RNA, 27 nt
Filed under: Cricetulus griseus (Chinese hamster)
Lineage: Eukaryota; Metazoa; Chordata; Mammalia; Rodentia; Cricetidae
Source: RNAcentral